GUGGGAUCAACACCCUGUCAAGAGCCACCUCAUUCUCGUAAACACACAAAGCCCCAGAAAGAAACGGAGCAAAUGUUUCCUAUGUUGGUCUCCUCUGCCUUCGUUGCCCAAAUGUAAAUGGUUGUAGAAAUUUCCAGAUGAAAGUUUAUGACAUAAAUGAAUUCCUAGUGAUUGAUUUUUGUAUUCCUCUGUGAAGUCCACACAAUGGGAGGUGGCUGCUUAUCACUGAGUAAGAUCAUUGAAUGAUUUAAUGGGGGGUUAAAUGAAAAGUAAGAGUUUUCAUACUGGUGUGAUGUAAAUCCUGCGUCCAAUUAAAGCCUCAAAGCAUUUUUUAAAAGCUGUAUAAAAGGUGAAUCAUUUCUGUAAACAGCCCUUAAAGUGAAAACCCAACACCUUUGCUGUGGGAGAAGUAAUAUGCUCUCAAAUACCUCAGCAAACAAAGAGUCCCUUGCCU
This 454-nucleotide long non-coding RNA is filed under the name Junco hyemalis (dark-eyed junco). Its description in RNAcentral is "lncRNA (ENSJHYG00000004074.1)". The record is from RNAcentral. Lineage: Eukaryota; Metazoa; Chordata; Aves; Passeriformes; Passerellidae.